AUGGCAAGCACGUCAGGGGCGCUUGUCGACGACAACGUCCUCGAAGUGCUCCGCAAAGCACAGUUGGACGCAUUUAUUAGUCAGUUUGUCUUCUUAUUCAACGUCAGAAGGUUUGAUCACUUUUCACAUGUUCGAGAUAAAGAUAUGCUGGAAAUUGGUAUGCAACAAGUUCAAAUUCGGCAGCUCCGAGAGCAGAUUCUCAAAAUGUCCAGAGAAAUGUGGAAUCGGAGUGAUCCGAAGCAAGUGUACAUUCAAGCCGAUCAGUCGAUGCCAGCACAAAAUUCGAUUGACGAGAAAGCACUGAUUCCAAAUGAGCAGACGUUGCACCGGUCCAACAGCGACCGAUCUCAUCGGCAUCUAUUCCAGCGCUCCAACCACAACCCAUUCAACACAUUCAGAAGCCUAUCCAACCGCAACAAGUUCGUAUACCGCCAUCAACAGCUCCCGUUCAGAAACCAGUUCAAGUCUCAGCUCCUACCCAUAGUAAUGUGGCACCCACAACUUCAUCUCAAGCGUCUGCAGAUGCACGCAAUCCGCUACCUCCAAAAACAAGCCCACCAGUUAGCAACACGCCUAUCACAGUUGCUCCUGUUCACGCGGCACCAACUACUUCGGCACCAUCAACUUCGGUGGUAACGAGAAGGCCAACUUCAACCACAGCUCAAAUGUCGGACGAGGAGAGACGGUCAAGAAUUGCCAUGGACAUCAGCUCUGCACUUCCAGCUCCCAGUGCUUUGCUCUAUGGAUCUAACUCCACAUCAUCACUUCCGUCAGCGGCAGUGUCUACAGCGUCUUCUGUGCCAUCAACUGCAAGAGACAAUCCAGUGGAAACAAGACCAUCUCAACCUCAUGUUACCAUGCCACCCAAAAAAUCUUCUGAGCCGAUUCUCUCGUCUGAGGUGCUCCAACCAACUCGUCUGCCAUCUGCCACAACUUCGCAGGCAAAACCAGUGACUCAACCAAUCCGUCACCCAUCACCUCCGGUAGCCACUGUUAUACCGACUGCAGUGGUUGACAAAAAGCCAGUUUCACAAAAUCAAGGAAGCAACGUUCCUUUGUUUAACAUUACCAACUCCAGCAACGGGUACCCUCAGUUAAAUGGAUAUCCAAACUAUGGAAACGGUUUUCAGGCGUAUGGUUAUGGAAUGAACUAUCAUCAAGGAUAUCCUGGAUAUCAAGGAUACAAUUCAUAUGGCAACGGAAUGGGGCAGCUUGCACUGACCCACAACGCCGUCACUUCUUUGCCACCGUUGGUUCCAUCAGAGAACAGAUUCUCCGGAACAGCCCAACCACUUGGCGAGUCUGACAUUAUGGAGUUUUUGGGAACACAGCAACGUCAAGCGGGUUCUUCAUCGCGAGCAGUUCCACCUGCAUCUGCAUCCACGUCAGCAGCUUCUGGAAUCACGGAUUUGAGUAUGGCAGAUAAGAUGGAGGUGUUGUAUAGAGAAGCUGAUUUUACGCAUAAAGGAAAUUGUGAUACCAUGGUUUCUCAGUGCAACGGAAACACCGAACAGGCGUUGAAGCUUCUCAAACAACAACACUUGGUGGAUAUGGAACUUGCAAUGUCAACGGAGACCGCCCGACAAGCACUCGAGGCCAGACAGUAUGAUCUCCCUGCAGCCGCCAACAUGUUGCUCGGCUGA
RNAcentral lists this unclassified non-coding RNA (1643 nucleotides) under Caenorhabditis elegans. RNAcentral's name for it is "Non-coding transcript of protein-coding gene sid-3". Lineage: Eukaryota; Metazoa; Nematoda; Chromadorea; Rhabditida; Rhabditidae. The record is from RNAcentral.